GGGGCCGUAGCCCAACGGCAGGAGGCACAGGAUUUAGGUUCCUGGCAGUGUGGGUUCGAGUCCCACCGGCCCCACCA
RNAcentral lists this transfer RNA (77 nucleotides) under Streptosporangiaceae bacterium. RNAcentral describes it as "tRNA-Leu". It matches the Rfam family "tRNA". From Rfam's summary of the family: Transfer RNA (tRNA) molecules are approximately 80 nucleotides in length. RNAcentral also lists the same sequence under 1 other name. Lineage: Bacteria; Bacillati; Actinomycetota; Actinomycetes; Streptosporangiales; Streptosporangiaceae. The record is from RNAcentral.